AUUGAACGCUGGCGGAAUGCUUUACACAUGCAAGUCGAACGGUAGAGGGGGCAACCCCUUGAGAGUGGCGAACGGGUGAGUAAUAUAUCGGAACGUGCCCAGUCGUGGGGAUAACGUAGCGAAAGUUACGCUAAUACCGCAUACGAUCUAAGGAUGAAAGCGGGGGAUCGCAAGACCUCGCGCGAUUGGAGCGGCCGAUAUCAGAUUAGGUAGUUGGUGAGGUAAAGGCUCACCAAGCCGACGAUCGUGUAGCUGGUCUGAGAGGACGACCAGCCACACUGGGACUGAGACACGGCCCAGACUCCUACGGGAGGCAGCAGUGGGGAAUUUUGGACAAUGGGCGCAAGCCUGAUCCAGCAAUGCCGCGUGCAGGAUGAAGGCCU
Molecule: ribosomal RNA, 383 nt
Filed under: uncultured bacterium
Lineage: Bacteria
Description: bacterial SSU rRNA
Rfam family: Bacterial small subunit ribosomal RNA
Source: RNAcentral